This is an RNA transcript of Vespula vulgaris, 3435 nucleotides long. RefSeq lists it as uncharacterized. The transcript is spliced from 2 exons. The record is from RefSeq and is a predicted model, not a curated record. Lineage: Eukaryota; Metazoa; Arthropoda; Insecta; Hymenoptera; Vespidae.
UUUCUUUCUUAUACUCUCUUUUUCUCGUUUGCCUUUUCCAUUUCCUCUCGUCGUUCAUUUUCUUUUUUCUUUCUCCUUCUUCGCCCUACGUCGUCCUCCCCGCUACCUCUUUCUCUUUCGCUCUACCCAACUCGUUUUACCCGGGCGAUCGCAAAUUUAUUCCGUCGAGUCGGCGACGCCGUCGGCCGGCGGAAUCGCAGUACUUUAUACUCGUCGAGAAUCGAUAGACAGCCGCGCGCGGAUAUGGAAGCACUAUAUUUUCCUUCGUCGCACCUCCGAGCCUCUCUCAGAGGCUCUCUUGUCAAUAAAGUGAGCACUUUCCUGGCACGGAGUUUCAUUAUUUCUUUACCCGCACCACCGACGCCGCCACUGACGCCUCCGCCUCCGCCUCCGCCAUCGGCAGCAGCGAGGCCGACGCCCAACGGGAAGACGGUCGUCGUUUUACUACGAUCUCUCUUUCUCUAUUCCGUUCUUUCUCUCACGAGCCAUCUUUUCUUCCUAACGAAGGCCGAUCUACUACGAGUAAGAGGUUCGAAUACAAGCAAGUUAUGAGGCCGGUGACCUUAACGAAACAUCGUAAAGAACGAAGCGUAAAAUGAUUUACGUUAGUGUACCACGAUAUCUACUCGAGAGAUACCACUCGUAGAUCUGGUUGAAGUCAAAGAGUCAUGGAGGUGUGGUGAUAGAAGGAGAUAAUUUAAAGGACGGAUAGCAAGAGUAUUUUCGUAUAAUUGAUCGAAUCUAAUGAGUUAAAGGGGACGAAACGGUAUCGAUGGUGGAUAUUAAAGAGUUCUAGGUCAUGGCGACGACAGCCUCGAGGGAGAGAGAGAAAGUACGGAGAACUUGGGUACUUACUCUCUCUCUCUCUCUCUCUGUGUCUGUCUCUGUCUCUCCUACUUCCUUGGCCCUCCCGCCACUCGGUCGGGUCGGUCCAACCGACGCGCGGAGGGCGCUGAUUGUAAAUUAGUUAAAGGAGAUGCUUCAUUAGAACCAGCUGUUUGCACCCAGAAAUUUCAAUUUUCUACGGGUAAAGAAAUUAUGUAACAAUAAAGAUCGUUUACUUUAACAAUUAUCCAAUAAUGAGUAAGAGAAAUGAAGGAUCUUGUGGAAAGCAUUAAUAAUUGAACGUACGGCAGGAGAAUUAGUUGGUCACAGACAAUUACUUCUAUUAGUUAUCAAAAAUGCAUUCAUUCUGAGAAACCGACAAAAUCCUAUCCCAUUUCGCCAUUACUUCUUGGUCGCCUCGGGACUCGAGCUCGCCAGCGAUGACGUUUCAACGUCGCUCCACGCUCACUUUUCAAUUUGCAGAGAAAUGAAGAAGGAGCUGCGCCGGUAGGAAGAGAGUGUGUGGGACAAGCGAGGGGGUAUGGUAUGAGAGAGUGGGUGGAUGAAUGCUAUAAAGUAAAGCGAGAUGGAAAUGGUAAAGAAGAGAAUAGAGGGAAUAAGAGUGAAAGAGAUAAAGAAAACGAGAGAGAGAGAGAGAGAAGGACGAGAAGAAAGAAAGAAAACGCGUGGCGAAGCAGCAGAAGGGGUGGCCGAGUAUGAGAAAGGAGAAAAGGCGGCCCGUUACACGAAAGGUGGUGUCUUCCACGUCCCCCAGGGAAAUUAUUGACAGUCAGCGAGGAAAUGACGUCGUAAAUACCACCUCGAGCCGAACCCUCCUCGCAAGAGCAUCUUCCAUCUUCGCCUUCUCGACUUGCCUUCGUUUCUACUCCUUUUCUUUUCCUUUUCUUUUUCUUCUUUUUUCUCUUUCCUUUUCCCUUAAUACCCACCACCUUACCCCCACUUCGCUCACUCAUCCACUUCUUCUCUUUCGUUUUCAUGUUUCUCGGCUCGCUCACGUGGAAAUUACACGUUCUACCAGCGAAUCUUUUGAUUCGUUGUUUCAACCUAAGAUUUUCAAGGUGACCUGUGUUGACAAGGUCGUCUUUAUUAUCGGUGUCUCUUAUUUCGGAAUGAAUUUAUAAUUAUUUGAAAAUGAUAUAUAUAUAUAUAUCAAGCAUUUUCUAUUUCGUGCAACGAGAAUUUCUGAGAAUAAACGAAAGAAGAAGCGGAAAACUUGAGAAAAGUAACGUUAGAAUUAGAGUCAUAUUACCGGUGGAAGGAAAUUAAAAAGAUUCGCAAUGAAACGCAAGCAGCGCGUAUCCUUUUUCGCGUUUACGAAACUUUUGCGAGACGUUAUUUAGUCGGAACGAAAGGGACACCGACUUGGAGUCAUAGUAAAUUCGUACUAAAACGUUUCUAAGAGAAAAAAGAAGAAGGACCUAUUGGCGAGCGAGACCGUUUGAGUUUCUCUCGUUUUUCAUCGUCUGCAAUUUUGAUUUCGUUCGUGUCAUUUCCGGGCGAACGGUGUAGGUAUUAUUAAAAUGUACAAAGCUGGAAUUAUUUCCAGUUAACAAUGUGUACGAGAGAAAGUCCCUCCCCCUUUUGAAAGAAAAAGGGAGACGGAAGUGACUCGCCUCUUUUGCCUCUUUCCUUCCUUCCUUUGCUCUUCUCCUUCUUUAUCGCUGACGUUUCAUCCCCGGAGCGAUUUAAUAGUUUUAUAAAGCCGCGAGCCAACACUCGACUCGUAAAUUUCUUUUUGUCUUUCUUUUUCUUGUUUUCUCUUUUUCUUUUUCUUUGCCCCAUUGUUCUUUCCAUACCGCUAGGUAUUUGAAUCGAAGGCAUACCAUUGGUUUAUUAAAAGACACACUCAAUACGAUACAUAGCUCUUUCAACAACGUUUCUUUCAUCGGCAUACCAACAAUAAAAAGGCAGUUGAGGUUUCUUUCGUUUUACCUUGUAUUAUUAGCAGUUUUCAUAUUUCAGACAUCGAUAUAUACAUACGUACAUAGAUACGUAUAUAUAUAUAUAUACAUAUACACACAAAAUGUAUAUAUAUAUAUAUAAAAUAUGUAGUAUAUGCAUCUAUAUCGUCGUCGUUGCUGGCUUAAUAAAAAGUUCCUCGUGAUAGGCGAGAGCGCAGGCAAGGUAUGUAGGUAUAAAGCGAAAAAGGAGAAGAAGGAAGAGGCAAGGCAGCGCUUGGAAUAUUUGCACGUGGAAAGACGAAACUCGUCGCUUCUCUCGGAUAUUGCAACCGAUGCCUCUCGUUUUCCCUUAUCCCCAAGUUUCUUUGCCGCGUGAAAGAAGGAGGAAGAAAGAAGAAGCGCAUUAUACGUGGAAACGUUCCUCCCUUUCGCCUCGCGGCCACGGAGAACAGGGAGUUCUCGCUCUGGAAGAAAAGGGAGAAAAACGAUGCCGAAGGAAAAUGUCGAGAGGGAAAAAGAUGUACGUAUCUAUAUACGAAAAGAAAGAGAGAGAAAGAGAGAAAGAGAAAGAGAGAGAGAAAGAAAGAAAGAGAGAAAGAGAGAGAAGCGUAGGCGGCUCUAGGAAAGGCGCAGAAGCGAGCGUCGAUGUGGAGAGAGUAGGGCUAGUAGUGGAGGCAGAAGGGAGUUA